Molecule: transfer RNA, 71 nt
Filed under: Clytia hemisphaerica
Lineage: Eukaryota; Metazoa; Cnidaria; Hydrozoa; Leptothecata; Clytiidae
Description: tRNA-Val for anticodon AAC
Source: RNAcentral
GAUUCCGAAGUGUAGUGGUUAUCACGUGUGCCUAACACGCACAAGGUCCCCGGUUCGACCGGGCGGGAUCA